This 2061-nucleotide ribosomal RNA is filed under the name gut metagenome. RNAcentral describes it as "bacterial LSU rRNA". It matches the Rfam family "Bacterial large subunit ribosomal RNA", at positions 1 to 2108 of the family's 2925-position model. The record is from RNAcentral.
GCAAGCUGUUCGGGCGCAUGACGGAUGCCUAGGCGACGGCAGGCGAUGAAGGACGCGGCAAGCCGCGAUAGUCCAUGGGGAGUUGCAGGCGAACUUUGAUCCAUGGGUUUCCGAAUGGAGCAAUCCGGUGCGGGUCGUGCCGCACCAUCCCGCCCUGAAUCCAAUAGGGGCGGGAGGCGAGACCGGGGGAAGUGAAACAUCUCAGUACCCCGAGGAGAAGAAAUCAACAGAGAUUCCGCAAGUAGUGGCGAGCGAACGCGGAGGAGCCCAAACCGCCGGGCUUGCCCGGCGGGGUUGCGGGACGGCAUAGUCGGGAUUAGAUUCGAGCGCAACGGCCUGGAAAGGCCGGCCGCAGAGGGUGAGAGCCCCGUGCGCGAAGUUUCGAGUCCCGCGGCCGCAUCCCAAGUAGGGCGGGACACGUGAAACCCCGUCCGAAUCCGUGGAGCCCAUUCCACAAGGCUAAAUACUGUCCGCCGACCGAUAGUGCACCAGUACCGUGAGGGAAAGGUGAAAAGAACCCUUUUGAAGGGAGUGAAAAGACCCUGAAAUCAUGCGCCCCCGGACUGUGGGAGCCCUUUAUGGGUGACCGCAUGCCUUUUGCAUAAUGAGCCUGCGAGUUGCCCCGUGCCGCCAGGUUAAGCCCAUGGCGGAGCCGAAGCGAAAGCGAGUGCGAACAGCGCGUUUAGUGGCGCGGGGCAGACCCGAAGCCGGGUGAUCUAUCCGUGAGCAGGCCGAACCCCCGGUAACGCGGGGCGGAGGGCCGAACCAGUUGAUGUUGAAAAAUCUUUGGAUGACUUGCGGAUGGGGGCGAAAGACCAAUCAAACCCGGUGAUAGCUGGUUCUCUCCGAAAUAGCUUUAGGGCUAGCCCAGCGCGUUCCCCGACGGGGGUAGAGCGACCGGCUGACCGAGGAGCCCGACCGGGUUGCCGAAGUCGUCCGAACUCCGAAUACCGUCGGAUUGCAGCGCUGGAGUCAGACCGUGGGGGAUAAGCUCCGCGGUCGAAAGGGAAACAGCCCGGACCGCCGGCCAAGGCCCCCAAUAGCCCGCUUAGUGGAUUGUAAGGAUGUGGAGUUUCAUGGACAGCCAGGAUGUUGGCUUAGAGGCAGCCAUCAUUUGAAGAUUGCGUAACAGCUCACUGGCCGAGAGGCUCCGCGCCGAAAAUGAUCGGGACUCAAGCGGGCAGCCGAAGCCGCGGACUUGCACUUAGGUGCAUUUGGUAGGAGAGCGUCGCACGGGCGUCGAAGCGUCCCCGCGAGGGAGCGUGGAGCGCGUGCGAGCGACCAUGCAGGCAUGAGUAACGAAAAGGCGGGUGCGAAUCCCGCCCACCGCAAAUCCAAGGAUUCCUGGGCCAGGUUCGUCCUCCCAGGGUCAGCCGGGACCUAAGGCGAGGCCGAAAGGCGUAGCCGAUGGACAGCAGGCGAACAUUCCUGCGCCCGGCGCGCGAGCGAAGGCGGCGACGCGGCCGUGAGGCGGGUCCCCCCGUUGGUUGUGGGGGUCGCGCAAGCGGGAGCGGAGGCUUCGGCCGAAGCGAACCCCGUUCCACGGAAGCCGAGAAAAGUCGCCGUAGCGCCGGAGCGCGCCGGCCCGUACCGCAAACCGACACAGGUGGAUGGGUCGAGCAGACCAAGGUGCGCGAGAGAAACCACGUCAAGGAACUCGGCAAAAUAGUCCCGUAACCUCGGGAAAAGGGACGCUUCCGCGCAAAGGGAGACCGGCGACGCGGGAGCCGCAGUUAAAAGGCCCAGGCGACUGUUUAGCAAAAACACAGCACUCUGCCAAAUCCCAAGAUGACGCAUAGGGUGUGACACGUGACCAAUGCCGAAAGGUCAAGCGGAGGCGUCAGCCGCAAGGCGAAGCGCGGAGGCGAAGCCCCGGUGAAUGUCGGCCGUAACUAUAACGGUCCUAAGGUAGCGAAAUUCCUUGUCGGGCAAGUUCCGACCUGCACGAAUCGUGUAACGCUGUGGGCGCUGUCUCAACGAGGAUCUCGGUGAAGUUGUAGUGCCGGUGAAAAUGCCGGAUACCCGCAGAAGGACGGAAAGACCCCAUGAACCUUUACUGUA